Long non-coding RNA from Micropterus salmoides (largemouth bass), 1065 nucleotides. RefSeq lists it as uncharacterized. The record is from RefSeq and is a predicted model, not a curated record. NCBI's taxonomy places the organism in Eukaryota, Metazoa, Chordata, Actinopteri, Centrarchiformes, Centrarchidae. The transcript has 3 exons.
GACCUGUCACUUAUCACCGUUACUCUUCUGAUUAUUCUCAUGUCAAGGUGACCUGACACAGUGCUUGCUUCUCAUUUUGGGAGACUUAAUGAAGGAGUAAAUAAUCGUCUGGCUGUCAAACAGCCAACACUUCAGAUGCCAGGACAGAGACCAAGUUUUCCUGUGUUUGCUGUCGGACCACAACCACUAUGGCAGGGCCCUUUACACCGGAUUUUGACUCGUCAUCGUUAUCCCGGGGUCCCCUCUCCUGAAGAUCCCCACUGGGUGGUUGGUCCUCACAGUCAACACUGAGACUGACAUCAGCGUAGCCAUCUCAUUACUCUCCAAGGGAUCUGGGAGAGCUGGGACCUGAGCUGAGCAGCAGGAUGACUGGCUGUGAAAAAGGUUGCAGUCAGAAUUAAACAUGAGCAACCCGACCACUGUGGUAUGUUGGCCAUCCGUCACUCUCUGCAGCACGAAGGGGCUACCUGUGCACGUCCAGUGGGUCUGUCAAGUAUUGGAAUAGACACACUUGGCUGCACAGAGGUAGAAUCAGAAUUGCAGAUGGGGAAGGAGAGGAAAAAGAAAAAUAAGCCAAUCGAUGUAGAUUGAGGGUCUACAUUAUAAAGUCACAGAGAGAUGGUCUGUAUUUAUCUGGUCCAAAGAUAAUGUUAGGCUACAGUUACAUUUGUCAUUUAAAUGUGAUUUGAGCGCUGAUUCUAAAAAUCACAGUUGAAUAACUUUAAUUCACCACUUGGCAUGAACAUUUUUUUUAUGUAUUAAUUUAAAGCAGAACUCUGGUUAUUUUGACCUAGAUCCUAUUAGGGAUAUUCCAUAGUCCAUUUAUUCAACCUUUGUGUUGAAUAAAUGUCAGUGGUUUGUCCGAAGAAUUUGGUCAACAGAAAUGCCCAUAUUUACAGUAUUUGGGAUUUGCUGUACACUUAAAGAAAACAUUUUUGGCUAUUUUAAUGAGUAAACUGUUUUUACAAGAAGUACUUAAUUUUAUGCCAACAUAAGUAUGCCUCAUACAUGUGGUUGCCUUGGUGUAAGAGGUUCAAAUAAACAAUGUCAGAUGACAUCCCAAAA